UUGUGAGUUUAGAAGAACACCACGCGGACAUCUAAGUCUUUAGGGAAAGAGACUUUUAAUAACAGCUACUAGUGACACGU
RNAcentral lists this small RNA (80 nucleotides) under Salix viminalis (osier). Lineage: Eukaryota; Viridiplantae; Streptophyta; Magnoliopsida; Malpighiales; Salicaceae. The record is from RNAcentral.